This 467-nucleotide ribosomal RNA is filed under the name uncultured bacterium. RNAcentral's name for it is "partial 16S ribosomal RNA". It matches the Rfam family "Bacterial small subunit ribosomal RNA", at positions 28 to 507 of the family's 1533-position model. The record is from RNAcentral.
GAUGAACGCUGACAGAAUGCUUAACACAUGCCAGUCAACUUGAAUUUGGGUUUUUACCUUAGGUUUGGGUGGCGGACGGGUGAGUAACGCGUAAAGAACUUGCCUCACAGCUAGGGACAACAUUUGGAAACGAAUGCUAAUACCUAAUAUUAUGAUAAUAGGGCAUCCUAUAAUUAUGAAAGCUAUAAGCGCUGUGAGAGAGCUUUGCGUCCCAUUAGCUAGUUGGAGAGGUAACGGCUCACCAAGGCGAUGAUGGGUAGCCGGUCUGAGAGGGUGAUCGGCCACAAGGGGACUGAGACACGGCCCUUACUCCUACGGGAGGCAGCAGUGGGGAAUAUUGGACAAUGGACCGAGAGUCUGAUCCAGCAAUUCUGUGUGCACGAUGAAGUUUUUCGGAAUGUAAAGUGCUUUCAGUUGGGAAGAAACAAAUGACGGUACCAACAGAAGAAGUGACGGCUAAAUACGUG